RNAcentral lists this ribosomal RNA (465 nucleotides) under uncultured bacterium. Its description in RNAcentral is "partial 16S ribosomal RNA". It matches the Rfam family "Bacterial small subunit ribosomal RNA", at positions 338 to 795 of the family's 1533-position model. The record is from RNAcentral.
CCUACGGGCGGCAGCAGUAGGGAAUCUUCCACAAUGGGCGAAAGCCUGAUGGAGCAACGUCGCGUGGGUGAAGAAGGUCUUCGGAUCGUAAAACCCUGUUGUUAGAGAAGAAAGUGCGUGAGAGUAACUGUUCACGUUUCGACGGUAUCUAACCAGAAAGCCUAGGCUAACUACGUGCCAGCAGCCGCGGUAAUACGUAGGUGGCAAGCGUUAUCCGGAUUUAUUGGGCGUAAAGGGAACGCAGGCGGUCUUUUAAGUCUGAUGGGAAAGCCUUCGGCUUAACCGGAGUAGUGCAUUGGAAACUGGGAGACUUGAGUGCAGAAGAGGAGAGUGGAACUCCAUGUGUAGCGGUGAAAUGCGUAGAUAUAUGGAAGAACACCAGUGGCGAAAGCAGCUCUCUGGUCUGUAACUGACGCUGAGGUUCGAAAGCGUGGGUAGCAAACAGGAUUAGAUACCCUUGUAGUC